UUAGAGAAACUAUGUAGGAAGCAAUUAGCUACUGUAGCUUCUCCCUACUUAAAAUGAUUUUUCGAGGCUAUAUUGCAAUAUGCAGUUGGUCAUACCAAUUCAGUAUGUAACUGUUGGUGUUAAAAAUACCAUUUAUUCAAUCUCAACUUCAAGAAUCAAAUUGAGUGGAGAGAAAUAACAGUUCUUUACUUGACCCACUCUGCAUUUCCACUCCCAUUUGAUGCCCAACACACAGCUUUGUUGCACAUAUUGUAUGAGUGUCCUCCAUAAUUAAAGCUUUAUUUGAACCUCCCCCCUCCUUCCCACAUCACUCUUGGUUAGAUCAAAACAGUGGAGACAAAAACUGAAACAUGCCUGGGGUGCAGAAGGAGAGAAGAGAGACUAUUUAACGAAGCUGGCUAAUGGUGGUGAGAAGGAAAGGGGUUGAUUUUUGCGUCUCAGAACCCUUGAGCCUACAAAUAUUACUGAAAUCACAUCUGGGAACAAAGCUCUGCUUUAAGUAAGUUCACCCAUGAAUGUUGCUAAGCAAUGGAGAAAAGACAAGGGAGAGGGAGAGUGCCUGAGUUUAGGAUUAGAAGGAUAGAUAGGAGGUAUAAAAGUAAGGCUUCUAUACAGCCUUAUUUAUAUGAACUUUCAAGUUCUUUGUUUUUAUUGCCUGUCUUCCAAAUAAUUUGUACUACAAUUAAUCUGAUCUAGUACACUAUUUAUACCAAUGCACACCCAGCACGCAGAGAAUCGAGCUGCAUCUUGGAGCACUGGCACAAGCAGUAAUGCACCGGAACUGUCAACAUCUGUCUCUGGAUUAAACAGCAAGGAAGGCGAGAACAAAUCUUUUCUAUCAGCAGCAGCAGGGUUUGCUGCAGGAAGAUGAUAAUUCCCUCCUGCUACUCUGCUGACAACAACCAAGCUUCACAAGGAGGAGCAAGGCAUUUUAAUCAUGGAAUUGAAAACCACGGCAGUUUCUAAAGCCUCACCUCAACUUGGUUGAUUUACAUUAAUUUAGGAUCAACUGGCUUACAGUGAAAUUAUGCAUUGAAGAUAAGGGAGGAAGAAAAACUCAGUGUAAUUUCUAGUUUGCCUGUGCAUAAGAGGUACAUGUCUAUGUAUAUAAGUACUUUUGGAGCAUCCUGGAUAAGCAGGGACCACUGAAUUACUCAAAAGCACACUGCAAACUUGAAGGCUCCCUAAUUACACAGGAAGUGGUUUAUAAAUGCUGUACUUCAAGACACAGAGGAUUAAAUGGAAAAGAUGAAAAAUGUUACCAACUGGCUAGUCACGGUCCAAUCCAAUGCCUGCUGAAGUCAUCAGAAAACAUGUGACAGAAGCCUAGAGGUUUUGCCUGUGGCUCUUCCAUCAGAUUACUGUUAUAACAAAGGCAGUCCAUAACAGGCUUCUAAAAUAAAUGCAAAUUUUGUGUCGAAAACAGUCAGGCACCCCCAAAAUUAACAAUUUGAGCACACAGCAGCUUACAGGCAGCAGCUUUGGGCAUGUGGCACAACAUCUGUUACAAAAACACUAGAAAGCAGACCUGCAGCAAACUGGAUCACUGCCAGCUCUCAAGAUCUCCCCCCCGCCAAGGCUGUCAAGUAAAUGGACAGAUGGCAGCCAACGCACUCACAGGACAGUUAGCUCGGUUAACAAUCAAGUAUGCUAAGUGAUUUCAGAUCCACUCUGCACCAGGCAUUGUAUUUUCUAUUAAAUCAUUAACACUAUGUUCUAAUAGGAAUACAGUUUGGUAUUAAGAAACUGGCAGAUACUGUAUUUUGCAAGACAGUUUCUUUGGAACAAUUUGUCAGGGAACAUCAGAUAUGCCUUCAUGAAUAAAGUCAGAAUCUGCCAAGUCUA
Molecule: long non-coding RNA, 1845 nt
Organism: Neopsephotus bourkii (Bourke's parrot)
Lineage: Eukaryota; Metazoa; Chordata; Aves; Psittaciformes; Psittacidae
Exons: 2
Source: RefSeq, a predicted model, not a curated record